CCCCUUCGGGGGUACUCGAGUGGCGAACGGGUGAGUAACACGUGGGUAAUCUGCCCUGCACUUCGGGAUAAGCCUGGGAAACUGGGUCUAAUACCGGAUAGGACCAUUUAGCGCAUGCUUUAUGGUGGAAAGCUUUUGCGGUGUGGGAUGGGCCCGCGGCCUAUCAGCUUGUUGGUGGGGUGACGGCCUACCAAGGCGACGACGGGUAGCCGGCCUGAGAGGGUGUCCGGCCACACUGGGACUGAGAUACGGCCCAGACUCCUACGGGAGGCAGCAGUGGGGAAUAUUGCACAAUGGGCGCAAGCCUGAUGCAGCGACGCCGCGUGGGGGAUGACGGCCUUCGGGUUGUAAACCUCUUUCAGCAGGGACGAAGCGCAAGUGACGGUACCUGCAGAAGAAGCACCGGCCAACUACGUGCCAGCAGCCGCGGUAAUACGUAGGGUGCGAGCGUUGUCCGGAAUUACUGGGCGUAAAGAGCUCGUAGGUGGUUUGUCGCGUUGUUCGUGAAAUCUCACGGCUUAACUGUGAGCGUGCGGGCGAUACGGGCAGACUGGAGUACUGCAGGGGAGACUGGAAUUCCUGGUGUAGCGGUGGAAUGCGCAGAUAUCAGGAGGAACACCGGUGGCGAAGGCGGGUCUCUGGGCAGUAACUGACGCUGAGGAGCGAAAGCGUGGGGAGCGAACAGGAUUAGAUACCCUGGUAGUCCACGCCGUAAACGGUGGGUACUAGGUGUGGGUUUCCUUCCUUGGGAUCCGUGCCGUAGCUAACGCAUUAAGUACCCCGCCUGGGGAGUACGGCCGCAAGGCUAAAACUCAAAGGAAUUGACGGGGGCCCGCACAAGCGGCGGAGCAUGUGGAUUAAUUCGAUGCAACGCGAAGAACCUUACCUGGGUUUGACAUGCACAGGACGCCGGCAGAGAUGUCGGUUCCCUUGUGGCCUGUGUGCAGGUGGUGCAUGGCUGUCGUCAGCUCGUGUCGUGAGAUGUUGGGUUAAGUCCCGCAACGAGCGCAACCCUUGUCUCAUGUUGCCAGCGCGUAAUGGCGGGGACUCGUGAGAGACUGCCGGGGUCAACUCGGAGGAAGGUGGGGAUGACGUCAAGUCAUCAUGCCCCUUAUGUCCAGGGCUUCACACAUGCUACAAUGGCCGGUACAAAGGGCUGCGAUGCCGCAAGGUUAAGCGAAUCCUUUUAAAGCCGGUCUCAGUUCGGAUCGGGGUCUGCAACUCGACCCCGUGAAGUCGGAGUCGCUAGUAAUCGCAGAUCAGCAACGCUGCGGUGAAUACGUUCCCGGGCCUUGUACACACCGCCCGUCACGUCAUGAAAGUCGGUAACACCCGAAGCCAGUGGCCUAACCCUUUGGGAGGGAGCUGUCGAAGGUGGGAUCGGCGAUUGGGACGAAGUCGUAACAAGGUAGCCG
Molecule: ribosomal RNA, 1415 nt
Filed under: Mycobacterium sp.
Lineage: Bacteria; Bacillati; Actinomycetota; Actinomycetes; Mycobacteriales; Mycobacteriaceae
Description: bacterial SSU rRNA
Rfam family: Bacterial small subunit ribosomal RNA
Source: RNAcentral